Molecule: long non-coding RNA, 687 nt
Filed under: Homo sapiens (human)
Lineage: Eukaryota; Metazoa; Chordata; Mammalia; Primates; Hominidae
Description: non-protein coding lnc-MSR1-2:5
Source: RNAcentral
CAAAAACACAAGACAUGUAUCGGUAUAAAAAUAUUUUCUCUUAGCAACAAUUUUUCAUACAGAUGGAAGAAUGUUCUUCCUGAAGCAGGACUCAGUGCUGGGGUACAGAAAAUUGUUCCUGAUGCUAUAAAUUUUUACUGCCAAGAGUUUUAAGAGCUAUAGAUAGUCAGAUUCUGUAAACUAAAGUCAUCUUCCAAAGUGCGAGGUUUCUAGUUGCAUCUUUACUGUAUUUACUCAGGUUGCCGCCAUAUAUAAAGGAGUGCAAGAGUCCAUAAAACUUACUCCCUCUGCUCUUGAAGGUGAACAGCACACUUUAGUAGCAAAAGAAAAUUGGUAGUGAAAGCAAAACAAGGAAAGAAAUCUCUCUGGGCCCUGCUUCUGUUUCUCAAAAGAAAACUGAAGCCUACCCAGAGGGUAAAUAUUGAGUCAGGAUCUAAACACAGUUGGACUUUACAGCUCUCAGGAUCGUAACACCUAACUUCUUCCAAAAAGUGAAAUGACUUUACUUCUAAUUUCCUCCAUUCAUCCAAUACCAUUUGAAAAUAGUGUCUGAGUGUAUACUAUUUUUCAAGCACUGUUCCUGGGAAUCCAGGUACACAGUAAACUUUAGAGACAAAGUUCCUGAUCUUAGUCCACUGUUCCAGUAGGAAAAGACAUCAACAUCGGGCCAAAUAGAUAAUAAAGAAA